UGCGGAACUCUAUCGAGAUGAAGCAAACCGGAAACACAAAUCAACACCCGGAAUUUACCACACGAUGCACAACACAAAUGAUGCAUGAGCAGCUGAAAACAUGCAAGUCACGGCAUGACAAAUCACACACUCAAACACUACACAUUAAGUGAAGUUCAAUAUGCAACGAGUUGCAUAUUGACGAAACUCCACGUUAAUUUAUUUAGCUCUAUCCCGAUUAGGUACACGGCAAUAUUAAAUGUGGUUAAACAUGGCAAGAGGUGAAGCGUAAUUAAACUACUUAUCUAGGCAUUUUAAAUGAGGUUGGAAAUGACAUAUAGCACCUCCGAGACGACCUCACAUGUUAAUUUACGAUUCUGUCCAGAUGUGAACUAACACAUUUAAAUAGUUGUUAAACAGCAAAAUAAAUAGGUUCACGUGAAUCUACGCGUCAUUUCAAGCAAUCUACACAUAAAGAACAUCUCCAACGGAGCUACGGGUCAAAAGUUACAAGCACCGCAAGAUAUGAUGGCAUGAAUGCAAUAUGUGUGCAACGACGGCUAUGAGCACUUCAAAACAUACAACCAGCAAGAGAAAAUGAAACUACACGAUAUUCUAAGCAAGUUUCAUGUAGGACACGAUCAAAUCGGAGCUACGGUUCAACAACUACGAGCAAAACAAGAACUGACUACAAUCUGCCAAGAUCAGCCACAUAGCAUUUUCUACACCCCACAACUACGGGCUACACAACUCCGAUAAACUCAAGCAAGGCAUGACACGAAAUAGGUCAAGAAGCACUACUACAAACAACUAACAACAACUAGCAUGGCAUCAUGGAUCACUAGGAAAAGAAGACACAAAAUGGCAUCUCACACGCUAUUUCAGACUUAGUGAAAAUUACACCUCAUGAAAAUGCAGUUUUCGAUCUGAAGCAAUAUUGACAGCAGCAAAACCUAUAGCUACAGGACUCCAAAUGGCAUGAAAAUUCGCAGCAUGCUAGAGAAACACAAGGGCUACAACUAACUCCAUUGGACCAACCUCAAAAGAGCUACAGAUCACAAGAUAGAAGCAAAACAAAACAGCAACAAAAUAAUAACUGAUUCUAGACUUAGAAAUAUUUCANGCUAGUCUAAACAUCAAAUAUCAACUCUCUAGUUGACAACUCCGUCAAACGAAGCACGGAAUAAAUCCUAUGAAUUAAACAAAAGGACAUCACGGCAAAAUAUUGCGCGAACUAACUUGCUCAAAAGCUAAAACAAAUUGCACAGAAAAAUCACAUGGAUUUUUCUACCCCGAAAACAUAUAAAAUAUGUGGGGUUGCACAACAAAAUAUUGCCACACGUAAAUGCGAGAUAUAACCCUAAACAUGGAAAAUAAUCUAGCGGCAAAUCCCUACACGCAAAAAUACCAACGACUACUCUAAACUACGUGGCAAAGGUGUCCCUAGAGCAUGGAAAUUUUAUCUAAGGCAUUCGAGCAAUCCGGACUUGCGCGAAAAAUAAAUACGGGCACUAUCAUAUCUAGACAGCAUGUAAACCUAGGCAUAUGGCGGCUCAAACUACGUCAAACAAUUAUGCAUGUUGCAAAAACGGAUUCUAAGCGAAAUUCUACGCCAAGACCAUAUACAAUAUGCCUCGAUUUGACUUACGGAUAAUAAUCUACGGACGAUCUAAUAUUCAUCUAUUUUUCUGGAAUUUAUUAAUUCCGAGAAUAACCUAAUAUACUAAUGGGCCUAACGGGGCCCAAGAUAAAUUAACACCGCAUUGUGCAAAAAAAAAGAGGGCUCGGGUGUUGGCUCACUUUGGGCCGGCCCGUUCGCUGGAGAGGGAGGCCGUCUCGGCUCCUGGAGCAGUCAAGGCCCACGCGGGGCGAGGGCGCUGCUGGCCUGGAUCGGCAGAGGGGCGACUGGGCCGGCUGCAGCAGCCCACGGGGUCGGCACGGUGAACCGCCUCUCCCCCGAUCUGGUGCUCGCUCCAGAUCGCGUCGGCGGAGCGCUCACUAGCGGGAGGUCCCGCGCGGGAGAUGCCCAGCGGCACUGCAGCAGGCGGCGGCACUGCAGCAGGCGGCGGCACGCAGGCGCGGACACGGGGGACUAGGCGACGGCGGCGCACGCGGGGCGGCGGGGCAGGCCGGCGGUGAGGAAGCUGCCGGCUGCGCGAGAUCUCGCGUGGGGGCAGAACGGGGCGGCGCACCGGCGAGGCAGCGGCCGUGGCCGACGCUGAAGGCGCAAGGCGGCGGGGCUGGCUGUGCAAGAGCCGGCGGCAGCGGCGCGAGGGAGUGCCGAGGCACGGGUGCUGCUGCGGGGUUGGUCACCUCGGGCAGGGACUCCAUGGAAGGGAGCUCGGGCUAGCGGCGGCGGCGGCUCGGGCCCGGGUGGGCUCCAGAUGGGCCUAGGCGGGCCCUGUGUGGGAGGAGAGAGGAGAGAGGCUGGAGGUGGCGGUUGUUGGGGUGGGUGGGGCGCGGAAAUCGAGGUGGAGGGGGUUGGCUGGCUAAAAUUAAGGAGGAGGUCUAUUUAUAGACAAAUGGGGGGCUAGGUUACCCGGAAUCGCGUUCUGGAUCCAACCGCGGGGUCGGAUUCGAACGAUUCCGCACGCGGGAAUGGGUACACGGCCUGUAGAGGGGAUAUCCGGAGACGAGAGGGAGAACGGGCGGCGCGGCAACGAUUUUUAAAACACCGACAGACGUCCGACGGUAGACCUAAUACGGUGCCGCUACAGUCGACCGUUCGGGUACCAGACGGACUCCGAGCACGACGAAAUUCGAUAGGCGGCCUAGCUAUAACUAAUCACGACCGCAUGCCAAGUUUCACCCCGAUCCGAGAAAGUUUUACGCACACUUUUAAAAUAGGCUUUCGAAGAUGGCGCGGGCGCGUGCGAGUGCGGUCGGGCUCAGAACAAACAACGACGAGAACCGACAACUGACAACGGAUGCAAGUUUUGAAAAACUGGCGGCAACGGGAUGCCGAUGCAAUGUUGAUGAUGCGCAUGAUGCGAUGAUGAUGCGACAAAUGAAAAUGCCCACACGACGAAAACGGAAAGAAAAGGGGAAUCUUCUGGAACGUCGGCACCGGGCUGUCACAGACACUCUCUCAUUGGCUGAUGGGCUUGGCAGGUCAACCUUGUUGUCAUCAUCGAGCUUAAUCACCUUAGUUGGAGCUGCAAUCGCACGGAUGUUAAAUGCUAAAAUUGCAUAUCACUUGAAAUUAGUUUGGGACUGAGUUAACCAAUACCUUUGGAAUAUUCAGCAUCUCCUUCCGCUUGACACUUCCCCACAACCUUCGCAUUGAAUGAGGUUGUCAAAGUAUCGAAAAGGUAGUCACAGAGUCGCUUGGCUGAUAGGAUAUGAGAAUUCAUUAAAUGAAGAGAAUUAGUCUUGAUACUUAAUUCCAUGCCACCAGCACAGACAACUUGAUCUUUGACAGAGACGCGGCCUUCCGGGGCUUGGUGGAGAUGAUCUUGGGUUGUUUGGCCACCUUCUCACACGUCCGUGCGGACUUACAUCAACCACGCUUCGAGCUAUGCGUGCCAGGGACCGACGUAGUUGUCUUAGGGCCACUCGCUCCCUUGGCGCCGCCAGCAUGGGCACUCGGAUAGUGGUGGCUCUUGGAGCGGUUCUCUCAUGGGAUGUUCAACGACAGAGAAGACCCUGCCUCCUCCCUGUCCUGUGUGUCCUCCUCGUCGCUUUCCUCAUUGCUGUUGGGGAACGUUGCAUGGGAAACAAAAAAUUUCUUACGCGCACGAAGACCUAUCAUGGUGAUGUCCAUCUACGAGAGGGGAUAUUCGAUCUACGUACCCUUGUAGACCGCACAGCAUAAGCGUUAGUGAACGCGGUUGAUGUAGUGGAACGUCCUCACGUCCCUCGAUCCGCCCCACGAACCGUUCCGCGAUCAGUCCCACGAUCUAGUGCCGAACGGACGACACCUCCGCGUUCAGCACACGUACAGCUCGACGAUGAUCUCGGCCUUCUUGAUCCAGCAAGAGAGAUGGAGAGGUAGAUGAGUUCUCCGGCAGCGUGACGGCGCUCCGGAGGUUGGUGAUGAUCUUAUCUCAGCAAGGCUCCGCCUGAGCUCCGCAGAAACGCGAUCUAGAGGUAAAACCGUGGAGAUAUGUGGUCGGGCUGCCGUGGCAAAAGUUGUCUCAAAUCAGCCCUAAAACCUCCGUAUAUAUAGGGGGAAGAGGGGGAGCCUUGCCUUGGGGUCCAAGGACCCCCAAGGGGUUCGGCCGAGCCAAGGGGGGCAACCCUCGCCUUCCAAACCGAGUCCAACUAGGUUUGCAAGGAGGAGUCCUUCCCCCUUUUCCCACCUCCUCUUUUUUUUCUUUUCUCUUUGAUUUUCUUCCUAUGGCGCAUAGGGCCUUCUUGGGCUGUCCCACCANNNNNNNNNNNNNNNNNNNNNNNNNNNNNNNNNNNNNNNNNNNNNNNNNNNNNNNNNNNNNNNNNNNNNNNNNNNNNNNNNNNNNNNNNNNNNNNNNNNNNAAGCCGAGGGCGUCACAAAGGGGAGAGCUCUUCCCCUCUCGGUUCCAGACCAGAAACACCCAUGACCCGUGACCAGAUGUCUGACUUUAUUCCAGGGCCAUGAAGACCUUCAUCCCGGCUCCUCUACUUGGUGUGUACCCGAUAAUAGGUUUACGACCUGCUGAACUGUAUUCCCCUUGAAGAAGACCCGUGGCAACACGAAAUGGUAAGGUGGCACACUCACAAGACUCGAUCUACGGUCGACUCAGGAAGUUUAUGUUUUUCUGCAAGGGUUAGCACCACACAAAUUGCUGAAAUAGGGUUACCACCCUCACGCCUCGUUAUUCCCUCAUUGAUCACUCUCGUCCAAUGAGAUAUCAGUUCCAUGGUUACACAUGUAUCGCGAAAACUUUCCUCCAAGGUUGUCCAGACUAGCAUGGCAUACGUGGCAUGAGGUAGUACCCACUAACCAUCUUCAUCACAUGUAUUCAACGACAAGCAAAAAUACCCAUCACAUGCACUCAUGCAAGGUAUGAUCUUAUAUGGCAGUUUUUAUCAACAUAACAAAAUUUAUGCAUUCAAUGCACCACAAAAAGCAUCAUACAAAUUAAUACAAAUCAGAGAUCAAGAUGCUUGCCUUUGGAGUGAGGAAGGGUGGUGUGCACCCCAAAAAUCUUGAAGGAGUUUGCUUCCCUCCAAAUUCCUAUUUUGAAAAUAUUCGAUUUAAUACACAAUUCCAAAACAUGACAUAAAAGUUGUUUCGAAAUUUUUGAAAUAAAUAUUAAAAUAAACUAGAUGAAAUUUUAGAGAGGUAGGUAAAAUAAUCAAUUCAUUUGGAGUUUUAUAUUAAAUGUUGUAGCGAGUCAAAGUUCUUGUCAAAUUUAUUUUUAAACGAACCAGAAAAGAAAAUGGUUUGGGGGUGAAUACGCCUUCCAGAAACUGAAAACGUAUCCAUGCGAAGGCGCUUACGCGUGAGGAAGACGCACCCGCAGGACAGCGCCACGAGGGCGACGACUCUCUCACCGACAGGUGGGGACCACCUCUCGGGUUCAUCCCGUUCCUCCCACGCUGUGGCCAGAGGCCGAUUCCGUCAAAGACUGCCGAUGCUAGCGAGCGUCAUCCAUGGAGCUCGAUACACCGACGUGCUCAGGGGAAUGGACCACAUCUCAGGGAGCUGGAGGGGGUCACUAGGAGGCUUGGAGCUGAGCAGGGCUUCGGUCUUGGAGGACGACGGUGUCAAGAGGAAGAGGAACUUCGUCCCCGGUGGUUCCCGAGCUAAAAUUGGAGCGAGGAUGGGUUCCAGGGAGCUUGGGGAGGCUAGGAAAGGCUAAGGGGAGACGACUGGGGCUCGGGGCUGCCAGAUUUUGCCGGAGGCUUCCAGUGGCGCUACGGACAGAGGCGAACGAGGAGAGCGGCUCCGACCGAAUUGAGGCGAGGGGGAGGGAGUUGUGGGUCUAGGGAGGCUGCUGGAUACUCAAGGGGGCUCGGGGCAUCCUUUUAUAGCCGGCCCGAGGCGGUUCCCACGGCGGCUCGGGAUGAGGACGGCGGCGACAAGUUCUGGUGAUGCACAUGGGCGGCAGGAGCAGACUAGCGGUGCGGGCAGCACGAGGACGAGGGCAGCGGUGGUCCAAGG
This 6064-nucleotide long non-coding RNA is filed under the name Hordeum vulgare. RNAcentral describes it as "long non-coding RNA (HVUL_LNC010295)". Lineage: Eukaryota; Viridiplantae; Streptophyta; Magnoliopsida; Poales; Poaceae. The record is from RNAcentral.